CUAAAAACAAAUUUAGAUAUAACAACAAAAAUCCUAAUUUUCUGAUGACAGUUUCGAAAUACUUAUCUCAUUUCGGUGUUCGUCAUUGUCACGAUAAAAACCCUAUUCCAAUAGUUUUCGUUCUCGGAAAAAUGUGAUUAUAUGAGAACGUGCGUACGGUUUACUAUCGGCCAACUCAAUCGUCUGAUCAUGUAUAGGUAUUUAAUAUUUUAAAUGCGCAUAAACGCGCGUGAUAAUUUCGCAAAAACGAAAAAGAAAUAAAGCUCUAUAUAAUUUAUUAAUGAAAAUGAUUUGGCAACACUGAUAAUAUUGUAAUAUAGGAGCAGCCGAAGACGUGAACACACACACACAAGCCAUCGCGUUUCCGGUACGUCCCACGUUUCCUGCCGUCACCAACCCACUUUACAGUAUUAUAUUAUAUUAUCUUUCUUGUAUACCCAAGACACCAGAUUACCCUUCUGGAAACGUAAUUUAAAUAACCAUUGUCAAAACUACGCGCGAAGCAAACUAAAAACCACCGUAAGAAAAAAAAAAAAAAAUGAUAAUCAUUUUUUUUCAUAGCGUAUUAUUAUAAUAUUCCUCGGCGUUAAACAAUUUUGAAAAUUCUAUAGUAGAUACGAAUAUAAGUAAACAGAAUUAAAAACUGAAAUCCCACAAUGAUGAACAGUGUUUUGUAGUGUAGGCAGUAUAGACAGUAAUAAUAUACGUAUAUGUAAUAUAUACAUAGUAGCCAAGUAAAUAAAAAAUGUAUAAAAUCGCCGAUUACCAUAUUUUCAAUGCGUUUUAAGAGGCCUGUAUUUAUUCGGUUGACGGUUCAAAUAGUAAUAAAACCCUGGAAUACACAUAUUAUAAAGGACGUUCGCUCUUAUUAAAAAUUACGUGAAUCGUCAAAAUACCGAAUAACCGAGCGAUAGCAAUUAUUUUCGAAAAUAUUAAAUACUCCGAGGUUCUCCUCAAUAUACACAUACAUAAGGGUUAUGUUAUGCGUACUAACAUAAUACAGAGUGAUUCAUUUACCUCCGUGAACCAACUAUUUCAUCGGAAGAUUUUAAGUAUAUUUUGAUUUCUGCAGCAGACAUUUCAAUCAUUACGGAAUCGUGAGAGGUUUAUUUUUUAUCCCUAUUUUCGAUAUAAUUUUACCGCUGCUCCUUGUAAACGGAGCCUUAAACGAGUAUACGUUCUUUUGAUUUUAGAAUACGAACAUAUAUCAUGCCCACGCUUUAAUACGGUCCUAAAGCGCAUACUAUUAAUUUAAAGCGUACAGGGAGUAGGGGAACGAAUUUAAAAUAGUGUUGAAAAAUAAAACUUGAACGAUUAUAUACAUAACGAAACGAAAAGAAAAAAACAGAAAUUAAAUUAAUUUACCAAUCCUCCGAGAAAAUCGCUGACACGCGUUAAACGGAUCACUCUGUACAAUACUUACGAACCGUAUAUAAAUUAGGGUGAAUUUGUUUACGAAAUAAUGCGUACUUCAAAACAACUCCGUAGGCUUUGAGAAGAGGGCAAAUAGUUAUACUUGUACAUAUUUAUUAUUAUUAUUUUUUUUUUUUAAACAUCUCUUCGAAACGUUAAAAUGUUACGCGUAGGACUGGCGCCACUGCAGAAUCCCACGAAACGCCAGACCCAUUGUGUUUCGGUAGUAAUAUUGUUUUCCUUAUAUUUUCCUGCACUUCUAAUACGUCGCCGUCUCACGAAUGAAACGAUAUACUUAAAACCAUAACGCCCCGCGUUAACGUUUAUUUUUCGGGAAUUUAAAACCAACACGUUUCUCGACGACGAACCCAUUUAAUAUAGUAUACGAGUAUAGGACCUCUAAUACUCAACAGAAUAUGUUUUGUAACGGCAGAGCAUACAAGAUCCCGACUUGGGAUAAAAAAAAAAUACAAUAUUAUACUGCAGAGUAUAUUUUUAGAAGUUCUCGUUUCGUAUACGUCGGGGCUGUAUAAUAAUUUACGAAUAGUACUAACCGUUAUUCCGAUGGGGGAAAAAAACCAUUAUAAAUUAUAUAGCUGCGGUGCCACAUAGUGCUACGUAUUAUAAUCCAAUGAAAAACACUAUCAUAUACGUCUUGGAUUUUUUAAAACUCGUCAACGAUUUUACACAAGGUUCGCCAUAAAACACGAGUUGUAAAGAUAAGCCUUUAUAUUGUUGAAAUUUCGAUGUAAACCGUAAAUCACGACGUUUCGUGACAAAUGAUUAACCGAAAAUAAUCGUCUUUCGUUUGUUAUUCUGUGCCUACAACAGUGGCCUGUAAGCGGUACAAAACCCGUCAAUAAAGAUCGGAAUCACUUUAUUUUCAAAAAAAUUGUUUCGAACGUCGUUAGGCUGCUUACCGCUCAGUCCAUAGGGUAUAACAUCACUUGCAACUACGGGGUUAUAGACAGACAGGAUGCCCGUCGAACCGUGAUAAGGAAACAAAUUGCGGAUACUGAUUAAUGUUGAUUUUCAGCGACGAGAACACUGUAGUCAGUGGCAUGCUCGACCAUUUUCAACGGGAGGGGAUGAAGCAAAUAAGAAUUCGAAAUAAAUCGUAAAACCGUCUUCUCUACACAACUCGAUUACCUAUGAGAAUUAUUAAUUCAAAAGCCGGAUUCUAAAAAAAAAAACCAAUUUUUCAUCGAGCUUUUCUUCGCAACUUGACUAACAUAUGCGCAUUUCGAUUAUUAGAUUAUUCGUAUUUUUCGUUUUUUUUUUUUUUUAAAACCAAUGCGAGGGGUUAACCUAUAACCUUCCUCUCCGUUUGCGCACGCUACUAAGUCUAUAAUUCGUCAUCGCCUUUCAUGGACUACUUAUAAACUAUAAGCGUAUCGACUUAUUAUUUUGUAUUACACAAUACGAGUGUAACAAUUAAAAAAUAUUGUCCUUGCGGUACCGAUCUCAUCACUCGACAGGCGACCAUAUUAAAUCGAUAAUCGCGAUUGUAACCCAGAAGUCUUUGUACGGACGGAGACGAUCGACGGACUUGAUAGUACUUGUCACGCGAUAAUGUCGAUAAUUACUAUGAACACCGAGUCGACGCCCGAUAAUAUUAUACGGGUAUAAUUCGUGUCGCGGUGAAUUAUUAUUAAUAUUCGAAAAUCGAAAUAAAUCAACGAUAUGACAUCGUGUUAUAAUUGUAUAGUCAUCCGCUGUCGUACGGAGACUUCUUACAAAUUCGAAUGACAAAUCGCAAGGCGAUCGCUUGAAGAACGAUGAAGUUUAAUUUUAACUCGCGCGAUAUUGACGGGGUAUUUUUUUUUUUUUGGUUUUAUCCGACAAACGCCACGCAUAAUCACGUCCAAAUGCUUAUCAAAUUCAUAUAAACAGCUUAUAUUGGGUGUCCCAAAAAAUACACGUUUUUUUUUAAAUUGGUUAAAUUUGGACUAUCUCUCUUAACAACCGUAUACGUAUCCUCAAACCUCUAAUCUCUAAUAAACUCAUCUCCCUUAAUAUCAAACUUUUGUUAACUAAUGCCAUUACGGUCGUUGUGUAAUCGGUUUUCGUUGAAGUGUCACCAUGCACCGAACAUCAGCUGAAACACGCGUGUUGGUUAGGUUAAGACCUUUUAGCGAUCCAACGAAAGUGAAGUGCGGAGACUGCGCGACGACUUUGUACCUUACUCGGACGGGACGCUGCUUUUGAUUCAUCAGUUCGUCGGCUGGUGAAAAAUUCCCAGAAACCGAGAACCACAAAUGAUUUGAAAGAAGAAAUUUAACGUGUGCAGACUGCGAAACUCACCAGGGAGAACUGUGAGGCGGUUGUUGCUAAUUUUCUUGCGCAUUUGUCAGCCUGUCAACAAACCCGAGGGAGGUCAUUUGAAUGAAAUUAUUUUUCAUACGUAAACCGGAAGUCAUACUGAAGAAACUGUUCAAGUCCUAUUUUGUAUUUGUUUGAAAAAUAAUUUUUUUUUUUUUUUGUGGCCAAUUGUAAAAAAACGUUCUUUUGGGAUGCCCUUUAUAUAAAUAGCGACAAAGUCGUUACAAUAAAAUACAAAAAUGCGCCGAUAGUUUAUAAUGUACUGUAGAACCGAGUAUUUAUUUAUUUUUUUUUUCUACUAAUAAACGAUUAAAUACUUUACGAUCGUUAUACUAAUAUAAAGAUACGACGACGGAACAAUGAAACCAUAAAAUAUUAUAACAUGGUAACUAUGAUAUAAUAUUAUCGUGUACGAUUUUACGUUUUAAUCGAGCUAUCCCGCACGUAAACCGCGUGAUAAUAAUAUUUUAUUUACCUUGGAUUUUUCUCAUCGGCGGCAUAGGUGCCCCGCGACGUCGUAUUCGAAACGCGCCAAUCGGAAUUAAUAGCAUUUGCCGCGUGUCAGUUGUGCAAAUCGCAAUACCUAUUCAGUCGGACCGGCCACCCGGUAAACGUAUUACGCGCUGACGUGUACGAUCGCGGCAAAACUAUAGGUCAAAUCGCCCCGUACGCGACCACAUCAUAAUCGGACGAUAUCGUUUUAUUACGAUACAAUAUACGACUGAAACGCCGUGCCGAAGUGGUUUUUUUUUAAGGUUUUCGGCCGACCCAAAUAUGUUGAAUGUUGAUUGACAUCGACUGGUUCGGAGACGCCUUUAGCAAAACUCAUUGUGGUCUUUGAGUGGAUAUAAAUCCUUCCCGUGCUCACACCUGCAGUUAUAAUGAGGCGCGGAUUUGUGAAAAUCAAAACGUGCCCGCGGAACGUCGCUAAUAAUUGCAUCCUCCCGGCGAUUUAAAAUCGAUAAAAUCUCGUCGUGCCUAUAAAAACACGAGGAACACACGCGGACGGGCGCCGAUAUAAACUCGAUCCCGACGAAAAUCCAAUGACAAUUCAUAAUCGUAUUAUUAUACGAAUAGAUAUAGGUAUAGGGACUACAAAAAAAUAUUAUUUAUGAACGGCGUCCAGGUCUUCGGCCUACGCGAUAAACCGUAGAGAUAUUAUGUUUACGCGGCGUUGCAGUCUACGUUUGUCUACGGCUUUUUACGUCGGUAAAAAGCACUUAAGGAACCCCGUAUUAACAUUAUAUUAUUAUACCAGCGUGCACAUUACACUGGCGCGGGCCGUUUUUCAUUGGAUAAUAUUUUUAGACGUUAUAUUGCGUUUAGGGAACAAAACGAUUCAUAAAAUACGAGUGUAUAAGCGGAAUUUACGGGCGUUUUAUACGUU
This is a non-coding RNA of Cinara cedri, 5122 nucleotides long. The record is from the annotation of a GenBank genome assembly. Lineage: Eukaryota; Metazoa; Arthropoda; Insecta; Hemiptera; Aphididae.